RNAcentral lists this unclassified non-coding RNA (260 nucleotides) under Hevea brasiliensis (rubber tree). The record is from RNAcentral. Lineage: Eukaryota; Viridiplantae; Streptophyta; Magnoliopsida; Malpighiales; Euphorbiaceae.
GAACUACGAUGGCCUGCUAGAUUGCCAAUUAUCUCGUCGAUUGAAACGAAUGUACCAGCAAAGGUUCCAAGAAAGAGACCGUAUCUCAAAGUCUCCUUCAAAGCCAUGGAAAUCGCAUCUCGAUUCGUAAUCACUCCUUUCUUCCCGAGGGAGGCCAAAGCCUUUCUCCGCUUCAGUCCAGCGAGGACUGAGAAGAGGGAGAGGCCACCUUUGAGACCAGCUCCAAUUGUGAAGCCUUUAGCAGAAGCAACAAGGAUCCG